UGCGUAGGCGGGCUAAUAAGUCAGUGGUGAAAUCCUACAGCUUAACUGUAGAACUGCCAUUGAAACUGUUAUUCUUGAGUACAUUUGAAGUGAGUGGAAUGUGUUAUGUAGCGGUGAAAUGCUUAGAUAUAACACAGAACUCCAAUAGCGAAGGCAGCUCACUAAACUGUAACUGACGCUGAGGCACGAAAGCGUGGGUAGCGAACAGGAUUAGAUACCCUGGUAGUCC
Molecule: ribosomal RNA, 229 nt
Filed under: uncultured bacterium
Lineage: Bacteria
Description: partial 16S ribosomal RNA
Rfam family: Bacterial small subunit ribosomal RNA
Source: RNAcentral